This 230-nucleotide ribosomal RNA is filed under the name uncultured bacterium. RNAcentral describes it as "partial 16S ribosomal RNA". It matches the Rfam family "Bacterial small subunit ribosomal RNA", at positions 104 to 334 of the family's 1533-position model. The record is from RNAcentral.
CGGGGUGGAGUAAUGUCUGGGAAACUGCCUGAUGGAGGGGGAUAACUACUGGAAACGGUAGCUAAUACCGCAUAACGUCGCAAGACCAAAGUGGGGGACCUUCGGGCCUCAUGCCAUAAGAUGUGCCCAGAUGGGAUUAGCUAGUAGGUGGGGUAACGGCUCACCUAGGCGACGAUCCCUAGCUGGUCUGAGAGGAUGACCAGCCACACUGGAACUGAGACACGGUCCAG